RNAcentral lists this ribosomal RNA (465 nucleotides) under Vreelandella stevensii. Its description in RNAcentral is "partial 16S ribosomal RNA". It matches the Rfam family "Bacterial small subunit ribosomal RNA", at positions 338 to 795 of the family's 1533-position model. Lineage: Bacteria; Pseudomonadati; Pseudomonadota; Gammaproteobacteria; Oceanospirillales; Halomonadaceae. The record is from RNAcentral.
CCUACGGGUGGCAGCAGUGGGGAAUAUUGGACAAUGGGGGCAACCCUGAUCCAGCCAUGCCGCGUGUGUGAAGAAGGCCCUCGGGUUGUAAAGCACUUUCAGUGAGGAAGAACGCCUGGUGGUUAAUACCCAUCAGGAAAGACAUCACUCACAGAAGAAGCACCGGCUAACUCCGUGCCAGCAGCCGCGGUAAUACGGAGGGUGCGAGCGUUAAUCGGAAUUACUGGGCGUAAAGCGCGCGUAGGUGGCCUGAUAAGCCGGUUGUGAAAGCCCCGGGCUCAACCUGGGAACGGCAUCCGGAACUGUCAAGCUAGAGUGCAGGAGAGGAAGGUAGAAUUCCCGGUGUAGCGGUGAAAUGCGUAGAGAUCGGGAGGAAUACCAGUGGCGAAGGCGGCCUUCUGGACUGACACUGACACUGAGGUGCGAAAGCGUGGGUAGCAAACAGGAUUAGAUACCCCUGUAGUC